Molecule: ribosomal RNA, 505 nt
Filed under: uncultured bacterium
Lineage: Bacteria
Description: partial 16S ribosomal RNA
Rfam family: Bacterial small subunit ribosomal RNA
Source: RNAcentral
GACGAACGCUGGCGGCGUGCCUAAUACAUGCAAGUGGGACGCAAGGAAACACACUGUGCUUGCACACCGUGUUUUCUUGAGUCGCGAACGGGUGAGUAACGCGUAGGUAACCUGCCUAUUAGCGGGGGAUAACUAUUGGAAACGAUAGCUAAUACCGCAUAAUAUUAAUUAUUGCAUGAUAAUUGAUUGAAAGAUGCAAGCGCAUCACUAGUAGAUGGACCUGCGUUGUAUUAGCUAGUUGGUAAGGUAAGAGCUUACCAAGGCGACGAUACAUAGCCGACCUGAGAGGGUGAUCGGCCACACUGGGACUGAGACACGGCCCAGACUACUACGGGAGGCAGCAGUAGGGAAUCUUCGGCAAUGGACGAAAGUCUGACCGAGCAACGCCGCGUGAGUGAAGAAGGUUGUCGGAUCGUAAAGCUCUGUUGUAAGUCAAGAACGUGUGUGAGAGUGGAAAGUUCACACAGUGACGGUAGCUUACCAGAAAGGGACGGCUAACUACGUG